This 234-nucleotide non-coding RNA is filed under the name bovine gut metagenome. The record is from RNAcentral.
AAAGUCCGAACCCGGUAAAGCCCAGCAAGCAGCCGGUACACAACCUUGGAGCCAAAGCCGCGAGGCAAGGCUUAAGCGUAGGCAGUGGAGUGCGAGAGCCGCAAUGCGAAAGCGUGAAGCAAUACAGCCCCGUAAGAUAUAUAGAGUGGAAGCCGAUACCAUCCUCUGGGUCGCAGGCAGUAAUACGGCAGUCGAUAAACGAGAAUGCUGUAGAUUCCGUCGGGGUCAAAGAGC